This 1812-nucleotide long non-coding RNA is filed under the name Homo sapiens (human). Its description in RNAcentral is "HSALNT0092576". The record is from RNAcentral. Lineage: Eukaryota; Metazoa; Chordata; Mammalia; Primates; Hominidae.
GCGCUGCUGCCGCUGCGGCCCGGGUCAUGUGGACUGUCUUUUUUUUUUUUUUUUUUUUUUUCCUCCUUCCAAGCAGUUUACUUGGGAAGGGUGGGAGCGCGGUGGGGGGAUAGCUGGAGCAACCAGUCAGGGAACGGCCUACUGUUUGCUUACAGAUUGGGGGUUUUUCCUCUCUCUUUACUCCAACCGGAUUGGUUUGCUCCACGAGAAAGAGGCGUUUUCCUAAUCUCCCUUCCCCACGCCUCCUACCCCCUCCCCCGCCCCACCUUCUAGAAACCUGACUAAUUGAAUUACUGGGAGUGCCGAGGCGCCCUCUCCUGCGCCGGAGCCCGGCAGCCACGUGUAACCCUUUGGGUGCUGAAUUCCGUCUGGGCUAAGGAAUGAUUUGACAUCUUUUUACCUGGGAGUAGGGUCUUUCGAUUUUAAAGGAACCUGUGCCCACCCUUUGGCUGGAGAGCCGGCAUCUGUCUCUGGUGCCCCGCAGGUGACGGAUGGGCUGGAACGGAGCCUCAGGGAGUGCGCGUUCCUGUCCAUUCCACCCGCUCUCCACGCCGCACGCUGCCUGGCGCUGGGUUAUCUGGAAGUCUGAGCACCCCUCCUGUGCCUUUCAGCCCUCCUCUUCCCACUUGGGAUUUAAAGAUUCUUGGGCAGGAAGCAAGUUUUCUUUAAAGUGAUGCUCUGAAAACACGUUUUUAAAAAUCAGGCAAAUCACAGUUUAAAGUGAUUACAAUUCAGCGCGAACCUUCCACAGAGAGGAAAUGAAUGCGGCAGACGAGCCCUUCAGAAAUAACCUCACACCUCUUCCAUUUCAACCUUGAGGGUGAUUUGCUGCCCACUCCCCAAAGAAUAAACGCCUUUAUCGAACCCGGUGCGGAAAGAAAUGAGGGCCGGGGGCGGGGGCUGUGGGAAGAAAAGCAGUUCCUUUAUUGUUGGAAAAGGCCCCUCGGUCCUGGACUUCAAGGGCAGGUUGCAAGCCUGGUCUUCAGCCGCCACUGAAGAGCGAUCUCCUGGCAGCGAGACUGUCCCAGCGCCUCGGGACGCGUCCCCACUGUCGUCCAGCGCCCAGGAAGUGAGCCCGACGCCUGCUCUGCGGGGCCACAGGCCCCCGAGACCCGCCCUUAAGGGGUCCGCGGGCUCGGGAGCAGCGGUAUUUUUUCUCAUGUUCCCUAGGGAGUUUUCUGCCUUAGUGGGAAGGGCAGAUCCCCAGGAGAAAAAAGGCAGUUUACUUUUGCUCCCACACCUGCCUGCACUCCUUUUUACUUAUUAGCCCAAUAAAAUCAAAUCUCACGUUCACCCUCCUGCGCUUUCCAGUCCUCAGACGGGAUUUCCAGGCGCUUCAGAGCUGUUUAGAAGCGUCCAGACGCCCUCCAGUGGUGGGCCUGCAAUCCGCACCCAGCAGGGGCAUUGCCUGCCGCUCAGGCCGGGUUGAAUUUGAUGGGAAAUCUAGGGCUAUGACCAAUAAAGACUCGAGAGGAAAAGAAACAGUUCAUAGGGGCACGGAGGUACCUGGAUGUUAUGGGCUCUUGGCUAAAAGUUAAGUCGUUUUUCAAUUACAGUAAUAUUUCCUAUCUGAAAAGAUCCUGAAAUCGUCCUAGGAAAGUAACUUAUAUUUUGUGACUAGAUACAAAUUGCAAUCUGUACAAUAAUGGACUUUACCACAAACCAACCAUCUGCCUAAUUAUUAAAAAUUGAAAUUCAGAAUGUCGACACAAAUGCUCCUCCAUCAUCUGUAUGUUUCACAAAGUUCCAGCAGUGAGAAAGAAGUGGGGAAAGAAGAUUGCAGGUGGCCGGAGUUCAGGGCUCAAGGAGGAA